CCUACGGGUGACAGCAGUGGGGAAUAUUGGACAAUGGCGGAAACCCUGAUCCAGCGAAGCCGCGUGAGUGAUGAAGGAUUUCGGUACGUAAAGCCCUAUCAGCAGGAGAGAAAAUGACGGUACCUGACUCAGCAGCCCCGGCUAACUACGUGCCAGCAGCCGCGGUAAUACGUCGGGUGCGAGCGUUAAUCGGAAUUACUGGGCGUAAAGCGCUCGUAGGCGGUAUGUCAAGUCAAGGGUGAAAUCCCCGCGCUCAACGUGGGAACUGCCGUUGAAACUGGUAAACUGGAGUGUGUGAGAGGUUAGUGGAAUGCCAGGUGUAGGAGUGAAAUCCGUAGAUAUCUCGAAGAACAUCAGUGGCGAAGGCGACGAACUGGCGCAUAACUGACGCUGAGGAGCGAAAGCGUGGGUAGCGAACAGGAUUAGAUACCCGUGUAGUC
This 440-nucleotide ribosomal RNA is filed under the name uncultured bacterium. Its description in RNAcentral is "partial 16S ribosomal RNA". It matches the Rfam family "Bacterial small subunit ribosomal RNA", at positions 338 to 795 of the family's 1533-position model. The record is from RNAcentral.